RNAcentral lists this long non-coding RNA (206 nucleotides) under Mytilus galloprovincialis (Mediterranean mussel). The record is from RNAcentral. Lineage: Eukaryota; Metazoa; Mollusca; Bivalvia; Mytilida; Mytilidae.
AACCCAAUAAAAGAGGGACGAAAGAUACCAAAGGGACAGUCAAACUCAUAAAUCUAAAACAAACUGACAACGCCAUGGCUAAAAAUGAAAAAGACAAACAGAAAAACAAUAGUACACAUGACACAACAUAAAAAACUAAAGAAUAAACAACACGAACCCCACCAAAAACUAGGGGUGAUCUCAGGUGCUCCGGAAGGGUAAGCAGA